ACAACAGUUAGAAAUGACUGCUAAUACCGCAUAAGCGCACAGGACCGCAUGGUCUGGUGUGAAAAACUCCGGUGGUGUGAGAUGGACCCGCGUUUGAUUAGCUGGUUGGUGGGGUAACGGCCUACCAAGGCGACGAUCAAUAGCCGACCUGAGAGGGUGAUCGGCCACAUUGGGACUGAGACACGGCCCAAACUCCUACGGGAGGCAGCAGUGGGGAAUAUUGCACAAUGGGGGAAACCCUGAUGCAGCGACGCCGCGUGAGUGAAGAAGUAUUUCGGUAUGUAAAGCUCUAUCAGCAGGGAAGAAAAUGACGGUACCUGACUAAGAAGCCCCGGCUAACUACGUGCCAGCAGCCGCGGUAAUACGUAGGGGGUAAGCGUUAUCCGGAUUUACUGGGUGUAAAGGGAGCGUAGACGGUAAAGCAAGUCUGAAGUGAAAGCCCGGGGCUCAACCCCGGGACUGCUUUGGAAACUGUUUAACUAGAGUGCUGGAGAGGUAAGCGGAAUUCCUAGUGUAGCGGUGAAAUGCGUAGAUAUUAGGAGGAACACCAGUGGCGAAGGCGGCUUACUGGACAGUAACUGACGUUGAGGCUCGAAAGCGUGGGGAGCAAACAGGAUUAGAUACCCUGGUAGUCCACGCCGU
RNAcentral lists this ribosomal RNA (642 nucleotides) under uncultured bacterium. RNAcentral describes it as "bacterial SSU rRNA". It matches the Rfam family "Bacterial small subunit ribosomal RNA", at positions 143 to 803 of the family's 1533-position model. The record is from RNAcentral.